Long non-coding RNA from Cyprinus carpio carpio, 1148 nucleotides. NCBI's taxonomy places the organism in Eukaryota, Metazoa, Chordata, Actinopteri, Cypriniformes, Cyprinidae. The record is from Ensembl.
UUUUGGCAUACAGCUCAUGAAAACACAAAAUUCCUAUCUCAAAAAAUUAGCAUAUUUCAUCCGACCAAUAAAAGAAAAGUGUUUUUAAUACAAAAAAAGUCAACCUUCAAAUAAUUAUGUUCAGUUAUGCACUCAAUACUUGGUCGGGAAUCCUUUUGCAGAAAUGACUGCUUCAAUGCGGCGUGGCAUGGAGGCAAUCAGCAAGUGGCACUGCUGAGGUGUUAUGGAGGCCCAGGAUGCUUCGAUAGCGGCCUUAAGCUCAUCCAGAGUGUUGGGUCUUGCGUCUCUCAACUUUCUCUUCACAAUAUCCCACAGAUUCUCUAUGGGGUUCAGGUCAGGAGAGUUGGCAGGCCAAUUGAGCACAGUAAUGCCAUGGUCAGUAAACCAUUUACCAGUGGUUUUGGCACUGUGAGCAGGUGCCAGGUCAUGCUGAAAAACGAAAUCGUCAUCUCCAUAAAGCUUUUCAGCAGAUGGAAGCAUGAAGUGCUCCAAAAUCUCCUGAUAGCUAGCUGCAUUGACCCUGCCCUUGAUAAAACACAGUGGACCAACACCAGCAGCUGACAUGGCACCCCAGACCAUCACUGACUGUGGGUACUUGACACUGGACUUCAGGCAUUUUGGCAUUUCCUUCUCCCCAGUCUUCCUCCAGACUCUGGCACCUUGAGUUCCGAAUGACAUGCAAAAUUUGCUUUCAUCCGAAAAAAGUACUUUGGACCACUGAGCAACAGUCCAGUGCUGCUUCUCUGUAGCCCAGUUCAGGCGCUUCUGCCGCUGUUUCUGGUUCAAAAGCACACGCCUGUGCACGGUGGCUCUGGAUGUUUCUACUCCAGACUCAGUGCACUGCUUCCGCAGGUCCCCCAAGGUCUGGAAUCGGUCCUUCUCCACAAUCUUCCUCAGGGUCCGGUCACCUCUUCUCGUUGUGCAGAGUUUUUUGCCACACUUUUUCCUUCCCACAGACUUCCCACUGAGGUGCCUUGAUACAGCACUCUGGGAACAGCCUAUUCGUUCAGAAAUUUCUUUCUGUGUCUUACCCUCUCGCUUGAGGGUGUCAAUGAUGGCCUUCUGGACAGCAGUCAGAUCGGCAGUUUUACCCAUGAUUGUGGUUUUGAGUAAUGAACCAGGCUGGGAGUUUUUAAAAGCCUCAGGAA